Molecule: ribosomal RNA, 492 nt
Filed under: uncultured bacterium
Lineage: Bacteria
Description: partial 16S ribosomal RNA
Rfam family: Bacterial small subunit ribosomal RNA
Source: RNAcentral
AGUGAACGCUGGCGGUAGGCCUAACACAUGCCAGUCGAACGGCAGCACAGUAAGAGCUUGCUCUUACGGGUGGCGAGUGGCGGACGGGUGAGGAAUACAUCGGAAUCUACUUUUUCGUGGGGGAUAACGUAGGGAAACUUACGCUAAUACCGCAUACGACCUACGGGUGAAAGCAGGGGAUCUUCGGACCUUGCGCGAUUGAAUGAGCCGAUGUCGGAUUAGCUAGUUGGCGGGGUAAAGGCCCACCAAGGCGACGAUCCGUAGCUGGUCUGAGAGGAUGAUCAGCCACACUAGAACUGAGACACGGUCCAGACUCCUACAGGAGGCAGCAGUGGGGAAUAUUGGACAAUGGGCGCAAGCCUGAUCCAGCCAUACCGCGUGGGUGAAGAAGGCCUUCGGGUUGUAAAGCCCUUUUGUUGGGAAAGAAAAGCAGCAGGUUAAUACCCCGCUGUUCUGACGGUACCCAAAGAAUAAGCACCGGCUAACUUCGUG